GUCUACGGCCAUGCUACCCUGAACAAGCCCAAUCUCGUCUGAUCUCGGAAGCUAAGCAGAGUUGGGCCUGGUUAGUACGAGACCACCUAGGAAGACCAGGGGUUGUAGGUG
This 111-nucleotide ribosomal RNA is filed under the name Pteropus alecto (black flying fox). Lineage: Eukaryota; Metazoa; Chordata; Mammalia; Chiroptera; Pteropodidae. The record is from RNAcentral.